Molecule: long non-coding RNA, 773 nt
Organism: Phyllostomus hastatus (greater spear-nosed bat)
Lineage: Eukaryota; Metazoa; Chordata; Mammalia; Chiroptera; Phyllostomidae
Exons: 3
Source: RefSeq, a predicted model, not a curated record
UCGAACAGGCUGAAGGUGUUCACCCGGUUCAGGCGGUAGUUGCGCUGCCAGCUCCUCAGCUCGGGGUCUUCGGACUCCCAGCCCCGCAGGGAGCGAUACUUGAGAGUCAGCCACCUGGGGGUGACAGGGACCAGGUCCAUCAUGCAGCCGCUGAGGUGGCACUGCGGGCAGCGGGGGACGGCGGUCAGGCCCAGGAGGGGCAGCUCGGGAGCGGAGUGGCAGGGCACCCAGGGCAGACUGACCUCCUCCAGCUUCCACAGGCCCGCCAGGCGCAGGACAAAACCAGCGGAAAGGCUGGAUGACCAGCUGACAGGGGCCCAGAGGGGACACAGCCGACGGCGGGCUCCCACGGGUCCCUGGACGCUGCGAAGACCUCGGGAGCCGGAGCAGGAGGCGUCUGCUGCAGACACCUCCCACGGUGGUCGCACGAGGACGGAGAAAGUCGCAUCUGGGGGCCCCACGUGGAGAAGGCUGGAGAACGUUACUCAAGAACAUUAACAAAAACCUGCUCUCCGGUCGGUCGGAAGCCCGGGGUGGGGGCGUUUCGGGGUAGACAGGAGGAUGCCCCACCCCCACCCCCAAAGACCUCCACGUCCUCCUCCCUGGAGCCUGUGACGGUCCUCUGACUCAGAAGAGGGCAUUCAGGUUGCUAUCUGCUGGCCUUAAAAGGGGGCCGUUCGUCAUCCAGGACCAGCGGGGUGUGCCCCAAGCCGCUGGCUUUGCAGGCGGAGCAGGGAGGGGCCUCUGGGAGCUGGAGGCGGCAGAAGAGCCCC